Molecule: long non-coding RNA, 537 nt
Organism: Polyodon spathula (Mississippi paddlefish)
Lineage: Eukaryota; Metazoa; Chordata; Actinopteri; Acipenseriformes; Polyodontidae
Exons: 4
Source: RefSeq, a predicted model, not a curated record
CAACAUAACACUGUCACUGUGUCAAAACAAAAUUACAGUAAAUUAGGUAAACUAUGUCACCUGGAUUUUUACAUGCAAAGUAACAACAUGUUCAUGAUUCUUGACAGUUUUUGAUGAUACAGUGAAGCAUUGGAGAGGUCCAUCUAGCCUGCCUGAUCAUAGUCACAUAUCAAAUUCUCUUUCCACAUACUCCAAGUACUCUGCUCCUGUCAGAAGACGGAGCUGAAAGGCAGAUAUCUGCCUUCUCAGUGUCCAGGGUACAUGCUCCAGAUACCCCAACUAACAGACUGAUGGCACAAGUUUGGUUGAUGCCAGCUUAUUAGAAAGAUGUUUCUGGGAGCUCAGGUCUCCAUCUUCUACUCAGGGUUACAGAGAAGAUAUUAAAGCUCAGGUGUUGAGUCUUCUCCAGUAUUUAUCCUGCUUUUCUGGACUGUUCCAAUCUUGCUUGAUCAUAAACCAUGACAUUAUAAAACAGGAGGAUGUACUGAAGCCACUGCUGACAAAUAUUUUUACCAUUCUUUCACCACAUCUCAAGGA